GUGUUGCAGGGGAGACUGGAAUUCCUGGUGUAGCGGUGAAAUGCGCAGAUAUCAGGAGGAACACCGGUGGCGAAGGCGGGUCUCUGGGCAACAACUGACGCUGAGGAGCGAAAGCGUGGGGAGCGAACAGGAUUAGAUACCCUGGUAGUCCACGCCGUAAACGUUGGGCGCUAGGUGUGGGGCUCAUUCCACGAGUUCCGUGCCGCAGCUAACGCAUUAAGCGCCCCGCCUGGGGAGUACGGCCGCAAGGCUAAAACUCAAAGGAAUUGACGGGGGCCCGCACAAGCGGCGGAGCAUGUUGCUUAAUUCGAUGCAACGCGAAGAACCUUACCUAGGCUUGACAUGCACGGAAAUCCUCUAGAGAUGGUGGGUCCGUAAGGGCCGUGCACAGGUGGUGCAUGGUUGUCGUCAGCUCGUGUCGUGAGAUGUUGGGUUAAGUCCCGCAACGAGCGCAACCCUCGCUCUAUGUUGCCAGCACGUCAUGGUGGGGACUCAUAGGAGACUGCCGGGGUCAACUCGGAGGAAGGUGGGGAUGACGUCAAAUCAUCAUGCCCCUUAUGUCUAGGGCUGCAAACAUGCUACAAUGGCCGGUACAAAGGGCUGCGAUACCGCGAGGUGGAGCGAAUCCCAAAAAGCCGGUCUCAGUUCGGAUUGGGGUCUGCAACUCGACCCCAUGAAGUUGGAGUCGCUAGUAAUCG
Molecule: ribosomal RNA, 698 nt
Filed under: uncultured bacterium
Lineage: Bacteria
Description: bacterial SSU rRNA
Rfam family: Bacterial small subunit ribosomal RNA
Source: RNAcentral